RNAcentral lists this non-coding RNA (30 nucleotides) under Mus musculus (house mouse). The record is from RNAcentral. Lineage: Eukaryota; Metazoa; Chordata; Mammalia; Rodentia; Muridae.
UGGCAAGGUUCCCUACACCCCUAAACUUUA